RNAcentral lists this ribosomal RNA (497 nucleotides) under uncultured bacterium. RNAcentral's name for it is "partial 16S ribosomal RNA". It matches the Rfam family "Bacterial small subunit ribosomal RNA", at positions 28 to 507 of the family's 1533-position model. The record is from RNAcentral.
GAUGAACGCUGGCGGCGUGCCUAAUACAUGCAAGUCGAGCGAACGGACGAGAAGCUUGCUUCUCUGAUGUUAGCGGCGGACGGGUGAGUAACACGUGGAUAACCUACCUAUAAGACUGGGAUAACUUCGGGAAACCGGAGCUAAUACCGGAUGAUAUUUUGAACCGCAUGGUUCAAAAGUGAAAGACGGUCUUGCUGUCACUUAUAGAUGGAUCCGCGCUGCAUUAGCUAGUUGGUAAGGUAACGGCUUACCAAGGCAACGAUGCAUAGCCGACCUGGGAGGGAGACCGGCCACACUGGAACUGAGACACGGUCCAGACUCCUACGGGAGGCAGCAGUAGGGAAUCUUCCGCAAUGGGCGAAAGCCUGACGGAGCAGCGCCGCGUGAGUGAUGAAGGUCUUCGGAUCGUAAAACUCUGUUAUUAGGGAAGAACAUAUGUGUAAGUAACUGUGCACAUCUUGACGGUACCUAAUCAGAAAGCCACGGCUAACUACGUG